RNAcentral lists this ribosomal RNA (403 nucleotides) under uncultured bacterium. RNAcentral's name for it is "partial 16S ribosomal RNA". It matches the Rfam family "Bacterial small subunit ribosomal RNA", at positions 30 to 526 of the family's 1533-position model. The record is from RNAcentral.
AUUGAACGCUGGCGGCAGGCCUAACACAUGCAAGUCGAGCGAGCGGCGGACUAGUGAGUAAUGUAUGGGGACUGCCCGAUAGAGGGGGAUAACUACUGGAAACGGUUGCUAAUACUGCAUACUGUCUGAUGACCCAUAUGGGAUUAGCUAGUAGGUAAGGUAAUGGCUUACCUAGGCGACGAUCCCUAGCUUGUCUGAGAGGAUGAUCAGCCAAACGGGGACUGAGACACGGCCCAGACUCCUACGGAGGAAGCAGUGGGGAAUAUUGCACAAUGGGCGCAAGCCUGAUGCAGCCAUGCCGCGUGUAUGAAGAAGGCCCUAGGGUUGUAAAGUACUUUCAGUCGGGAGGCGUUACCGACAGAAGAAGCACCGGCUAACUCCGUGCCAGCAGCCGCGGUAAUUC